Cinara cedri is the source of this 242-nucleotide non-coding RNA. Lineage: Eukaryota; Metazoa; Arthropoda; Insecta; Hemiptera; Aphididae. The record is from the annotation of a GenBank genome assembly.
CCCUAUAUAUUUUUUUUUAAACAAAAUCAAUAUUAGUUUCCGAAUGGAGCGAAGAAGCGUAUGGUUUUACAAAGAUGUUUAUUUUUUUCUGUGAACAACUUCUCUACCAGAAGACUUGCUCCGAUUUGUAUGUGUAGUAAUUUUUCUAAAAGAAAACUUCACUGGGGUGGUACUUUAAACGGGUCAUUUUUUGAUUUUCUCCGGAGUUUUCACAACAAAUUUGAAAAACUGGGAAAAAACAU